Molecule: ribosomal RNA, 460 nt
Filed under: uncultured bacterium
Lineage: Bacteria
Description: partial 16S ribosomal RNA
Rfam family: Bacterial small subunit ribosomal RNA
Source: RNAcentral
CCUACGGGUGGCAGCAGUGAGGAAUAUUGGUCAAUGGGCUUACGCCUGACCCAGCCAAGUCGCGUGAGGGAAGACUGCCCUAUGGGUUGUAAACCUCUUUUGUCAGGGAGCACAUGGCGCUACGUGUAGCGUUAUCGAGAGUACCUGACGAAAAAGCAUCGGCUAACUCGGUGCCAGCAGCCGCGGUAGUACGGCGGAUGCGAGCGUUAUCCGGAUUUAUUGGGGUUAAGGGGUGCGUAGGCGGAAUGCCAAGUCAGCGGUAAAAUCGCGGGGCUCAACCCCGUCGUGCCGUUGAAACUGAUGUACUUGAGUGGACGAGAAGUAAGCGGAAUGCGUGGUGUAGCGGUGAAAUGCAUAGAUAUCACGCAGAACUCCGAUUGCGAAGGCAGCAUACCGGCGCCCAACUGACGCUGAAGCACGAAAGCGUGGGUAUCGAACAGGAUUAGAUACCCGGGUAGUC